This 506-nucleotide ribosomal RNA is filed under the name uncultured bacterium. Its description in RNAcentral is "partial 16S ribosomal RNA". It matches the Rfam family "Bacterial small subunit ribosomal RNA", at positions 29 to 523 of the family's 1533-position model. The record is from RNAcentral.
AGUGAACGCUGGCGGUAGGCCUAACACAUGCAAGUCGAACGGCAGCACAGGAGAGCUUGCUCUCUGGGUGGCGAGUGGCGGACGGGUGAGGAAUACAUAGGAAUCUACUUUUUCGUGGGGGAUAACGUAGGGAAACUUACGCUAAUACCGCAUACGCCCUAUGGGUGAAAGCAGGGGAUCUUCGGACCUUGCGCGAUUGAAUGAGCCGAUGUCGGAUUAGCUAGUUGGCGGGGUAAAGGCCCACCAAGGCGACGAUCCGUAGCUGGUCUGAGAGGAUGAUCAGCCACACUGGAACUGAGACACGGUCCAGACACCUACGGGAGGCAGCAGUGGGGAAUAUUGGACAAUGGGCGCAAGCCUGAUCCAGCCAUACCGCGUGGGUGAAGAAGGCCUUCGGGUUGUAAAGCCCUUUUGUUGGGAAAGAAAUCCAGCUGGUUAAUACCCGGUUGGGAUGACGGUACCCAAAGAAUAAGCACCGGCUAACUUCGUGCCAGCCGCCGCCGUAA